AAUGAACGCUGGCGGCAGGCCUAACACAUGCAAGUCGAGCGGAUGAAGGGAGCUUGCUCUUGGAUUCAGCGGCGGACGGGUGAGUAAUGCCUAGGAAUCUGCCUGGUAGUGGGGGAUAACGUCCGGAAACGGGCGCUAAUACCGCAUACGUCCUGAGGGGGAAAGUGGGGGAUCUUCGGACCUCACGCUAUCAGAUGAGCCUAGGUCGGAUUAGCUAGUUGGUGGGGUAAAGGCCUACCAAGGCGACGAUCCGUAGCUGGUCUGAGAGGAUGAUCAGUCACACUGGAACUGGGACACGGUCCAGACUCCUACGGGAGGCAGCAGUGGGGAAUAUUCGACAAUGGGCGAAAGCCUGAUCCAGCCAUGCCGCGUGUGUGAAGAAGGUCUUCGGAUUGUAAAGCACUUUAAGUUGGGAGGAAGAGCAGUAUGUUAAUACCUUGCUGUUUUGACGUUACCAACAGAAUAAGCACCGGCUAACUUCGUG
Molecule: ribosomal RNA, 484 nt
Filed under: uncultured bacterium
Lineage: Bacteria
Description: partial 16S ribosomal RNA
Rfam family: Bacterial small subunit ribosomal RNA
Source: RNAcentral